RNAcentral lists this small nucleolar RNA (107 nucleotides) under Nannospalax galili (Upper Galilee mountains blind mole rat). RNAcentral describes it as "Small nucleolar RNA SNORA28 (ENSNGAG00000008153.1)". It matches the Rfam family "Small nucleolar RNA SNORA28", at positions 15 to 126 of the family's 126-position model. From Rfam's summary of the family: ACA28 is a member of the H/ACA class of snoRNA that guide the sites of modification of uridines to pseudouridines. Lineage: Eukaryota; Metazoa; Chordata; Mammalia; Rodentia; Spalacidae. The record is from RNAcentral.
UAAAAAGAUUUUAUUUUUAUCAGUUUGAGCUUGCUAUAGCAAGAAAGUCUAACCUAUUCCAGUGUUCUUUUUCCCAUGGGACAACCUGUUAAAAAGGCUCAAGCAAU